AUUGAACGCUGGCGGCAGGCCUAACACAUGCAAGUCGGGCGGAUGAAGGGAGCUUGCUCCUGGAUUCAGCGGCGGACGGGUGAGUAAUGCCUAGGAAUCUGCCUGGUAGUGGGGGAUAACGUCCGGAAACGGGCGCUAAUACCGCAUACGUCCUGAGGGAGAAAGUGGGGGAUCUUCGGACCUCACGCUAUCAGAUGAGCCUAGGUCGGAUUAGCUAGUUGGUGGGGUAAAGGCCUACCAAGGCGACGAUCCGUAACUGGUCUGAGAGGAUGAUCAGUCACACUGGAACUGAGGCACGGUCCAGACUCCUACGGGAGGCAGCAGUGGGGAAUAUUGGACAAUGGGCGAAAGCCUGAUCCAGCCAUGCCGCGUGUGUGAAGAAGGUCUUCGGAUUGUAAAGCACUUUAAGUUGGGAGGAAGGGCAGUAAGUUAAUACCUUGCUGUUUUGACGUUACCAACAGAAUAAGCACCGGCUAACUUCGUG
Molecule: ribosomal RNA, 484 nt
Filed under: uncultured bacterium
Lineage: Bacteria
Description: partial 16S ribosomal RNA
Rfam family: Bacterial small subunit ribosomal RNA
Source: RNAcentral